AUUGAACGCUGGCGGCAUGCCUUACACAUGCAAGUCGAACGGCAGCACGGGAGCAAUCCUGGUGGCGAGUGGCGAACGGGUGAGUAAAGUAUCGGAACGUGCCCAGUCGUGGGGGAUAACGUAGCGAAAGUUACGCUAAUACCGCAUACGAUCUAUGGAUGAAAGCGGGGGAUCGCAAGACCUCGCGCGAUUGGAGCGGCCGAUAUCAGAUUAGGUAGUUGGUGGGGUAAAGGCUCACCAAGCCGACGAUCUGUAGCUGGUCUGAGAGGACGACCAGCCACACUGGGACUGAGACACGGCCCAGACUCCGACGGGAGGCAGCAGUGGGGAAUUUUGGACCAUGGGCGAAAGCCUGAUCCAGCCAUGCCGCGUGCAGGAUGAGGGCCUUCGGGUUGUAAACUGCUUUUGUACGGAACGAAAAGGUUUGGCCUAAUAAGUUGAGCUCAUGACGGUACCGUAAGAAUAAGCACCGGCUAACUACGUGCCAGCAGCCGCGGUAA
This 500-nucleotide ribosomal RNA is filed under the name uncultured bacterium. RNAcentral describes it as "partial 16S ribosomal RNA". It matches the Rfam family "Bacterial small subunit ribosomal RNA", at positions 30 to 523 of the family's 1533-position model. The record is from RNAcentral.